CUCUUCUGAUCUGAUUUCUACAAAUAUAAAGGAAAAUAUAUUACUUUAUUUUCUGCUAAAAAUGUGUUAGUUUUGCAAAUUGAUUCACAGAAAGGAGAAAGGGAUAAACCAUGAUUUUCAUUGGAAGGAAGACUGUGAAAAUAAGUUUGCAUUUUGCCAGUAGAUCGGAAGCUAAGUGAUUUGAUUUUUAUUUUAGCAAUUAUCACUCAUUAAAAAUUGGCAAAUGGCCUUUUGUAUUUAUUUAUCAAAUAUGAAUUGAGCAGGAUAGUAACAUGAUCUGAUGAUUCUCCCUUUCUCCUCUCGUAGUUGCUUGGUCAUCAGGGUGUGGAAUCACACCUCUUCUUGCUUGAGCCUGUUGGAAGUCAUCCUCAAGGAGUAUGAUAACACAAGUUGGGGGAACAGGAAAAGAGAAUUGCAAAUGAAUGACAAAAAUAGUAAAUAAAAUAAGAGAUGUAAUAGACACUCUGCGGAGAAGAAUUUUAAUCAUUGGUAGGAUAAAAAGUGUCAUGAUUACUUGAUCAAUUUCAUCAUCUAUAAACAUGAUCACCCUGCAGAUAUAUCUAUAAUUCCAGAUUCCAAGGAAAAGGAUAGACUAUUAUUUUCAAUUAUAGUAAAUACUUAAUAAGAAGUUA
Molecule: non-coding RNA, 632 nt
Organism: Vicugna pacos (alpaca)
Lineage: Eukaryota; Metazoa; Chordata; Mammalia; Artiodactyla; Camelidae
Source: RefSeq, a predicted model, not a curated record